AGAGUUUGAUCCUGGCUCAGGACGAACGCUGGCGGCGUGCCUAAUACAUGCAAGUCGAGCGGAUUGAUUCGGAGCUUGCUCCGAAGAUGUUAGCGGCGGACGGGUGAGUAACACGUGGGCAAUCUGCCCGACAGACCGGGAUAACGCUUGGAAACGAGUGCUAAUACCGGAUAGGCUUUUCUCUCGCAUGAGGGGAAAGAGAAAGAAGCUUUCGCUUCACUGUCGGAUGAGCCCGCGGCGCAUUAGCUAGUUGGUGAGGUAACGGCUCACCAAGGCGACGAUGCGUAGCCGACCUGAGAGGGUGACCGGCCACACUGGGACUGGGACACGGCCCAGACUCCUACGGGAGGCAGCAGUAGGGAAUCUUCCACAAUGGGCGCAAGCCUGAUGGAGCAACGCCGCGUGAAUGAUGAAGGCCUU
This 420-nucleotide ribosomal RNA is filed under the name uncultured bacterium. RNAcentral's name for it is "bacterial SSU rRNA". It matches the Rfam family "Bacterial small subunit ribosomal RNA", at positions 8 to 418 of the family's 1533-position model. The record is from RNAcentral.